AAGUCGUAACAAGGUUUCCGUAGGUGAACCUGCGGAAGGAUCAUUAUCACGUUAUCCACGUACCCACCCUUCGUGCAUUGAAAAUCUCCCUAAAGAUUUAUAAGUUAUUUAAUUUAUAUAUUUUUAGGCUACAUAUAUAUUUUAUUAUAUACAAACAUAUUUCACAGUUGAACAACUUCUAUGAAUAUUGCAAGUUGACUUACACAAUUGUAUAGAAUUAUUUUAUAAUUCUAUAUAUAUUUUCUUAUUUUAAUCGAUAGGAAUAUCAGUGAAAGAACAACUCUUAGCAAUGGAUAUCUUGGCUCUC
Molecule: unclassified non-coding RNA, 307 nt
Filed under: fungal sp.
Lineage: Eukaryota; Fungi
Description: partial internal transcribed spacer region
Rfam family: Eukaryotic small subunit ribosomal RNA (bases 1-46)
Source: RNAcentral